This 435-nucleotide long non-coding RNA is filed under the name Homo sapiens (human). Its description in RNAcentral is "HSALNT0115101". Lineage: Eukaryota; Metazoa; Chordata; Mammalia; Primates; Hominidae. The record is from RNAcentral.
AGAACCUGUGCAGGGGGGAUGGGAAGCACCAUUUCCUCCAGGAUGACCCUGGGAACUCUGGUUAAAGCUGAUACCAAAAGGCUCCUGUGAGCACGGUCUUGAUCAAACUCGCCCUUCUGUCUGGCCAGCUGCCCACGACCUACGGUGUAUGUCCAGUGGCCUCCAGCAGAUCAUGAUGACAUCAUGGACCCAAUAGCUCAUUCACUGCCUUGAUUCCUUUUGCCAACAAUUUUACCAGCAGUUAUACCUAACAUAUUAUGCAAUUUUCUCUUGGUGCUACCUGAUGGAAUUCCUGCACUUAAAGUUCUGGCUGACUAAACAAGAUAUAUCAUUUUCUUUCUUCUCUUUUUGUUUGGAAAAUCAAGUACUUCUUUGAAUGAUGAUCUCUUUCUUGCAAAUGAUAUUGUCAGUAAAAUAAUCACGUUAGACUUCAGA